CCAGAGCUGAGCUGAGCUGCAGCUGCUAGCUGUGUGCUGUGGCACUGGCAGCAGCGACGAGCAGGAGACGACCGCGCUACGCGGGCCGGAGAGAAAAAAUGCAGAAAUAAUAGCUGACAGCCAUUGCUCCCUUCCGUUCCUUUGGCUCCUUGUACACAAAGCUACCCUACAACGCAGGACAGCCUCCUCGCUCUCCCCCCGUCCGUCUCUUUUCUCUGCUUCCUCCUCUUGAAGGCGCACACAUUUUCUUCUGCCGUGCUCUGCUUCCAACUUGCUCGCUCCUCCCGUCCUCCGCUUCUCCUCGCUCGCAAGCCCAGUGCUACUGCCGCGACAGGGAGAAACGGCAAUGGCAACGGCGCAGGCGGCCGCUGGAGGCGAGGCCACCGAGCUGCCCCCGGACAUCCAUGGCCUCGGCGAGAGCAGGAUGAGCAGCAGGUUGCAAUUCCAUGGUGAUCUCUGACAGAUCAUCCAAGGCAUCCGCCCCAUCGCGCCGCAAGUCCUGGACUUCCCAUUCGGCUUGAGCGCCUGGGUGGAGGUGGAGGUGGAGGUGGAGGUGGAGCCGUGGAGGUGGACGGACGAGGAUGCCAUGGUCACUGGAGCUGCUAGCGAGCAGGGAAUGAAGCCGUACGGUCCGGGAGCUGUAUACAUAAAUUUUUUUCGUGUAGCAUUGGAAACCGAUUAACAAGGAUUCAUUAUAAACUAGCCAUUGAUCGAGGUUAUGGUAUGA
Molecule: long non-coding RNA, 727 nt
Organism: Setaria italica (foxtail millet)
Lineage: Eukaryota; Viridiplantae; Streptophyta; Magnoliopsida; Poales; Poaceae
Exons: 2
Source: RefSeq, a predicted model, not a curated record